Molecule: unclassified non-coding RNA, 747 nt
Filed under: uncultured Prochlorococcus sp.
Lineage: Bacteria; Bacillati; Cyanobacteriota; Cyanophyceae; Synechococcales; Prochlorococcaceae
Description: partial may contain 16S ribosomal RNA, 16S-23S ribosomal RNA intergenic spacer, and 23S ribosomal RNA
Rfam family: tRNA (bases 327-399)
Source: RNAcentral
GGACGCCGAAGGUGGGGCUGAUGACUGGGGUGAAGUCGUAACAAGGUAGCCGUACCGGAAGGUGCGGCUGGAUCACCUCCUAACAGGGAGACAAAAACUGAUUAUUGAUGUCUGAUUUUAUUUCAGGCCAUAAUCCUGUCACCUUAGGUCGAUCGGUACCUCAGAUUAAAAAUAUCAACUCUUUUGAAUUUUUUGAUUUCAGUUUCUAAACUUGUCUAGGUCACACCCAACAAACUUUCUCCUGGGCUAUUAGCUCAGGCGGUUAGAGCGCACCCCUGAUAAGGGUGAGGUCCCUGGUUCAAGUCCAGGAUGGCCCAUUCGUAGUUGGGGGUAUAGCUCAGUUGGUAGAGCGCCUGCUUUGCAAGCAGGAUGUCAGCGGUUCGAGUCCGCUUACCUCCACUGAUCAACUACCUGAUAACUCAAUUUGGAGAUUGUCAAUUGUUUGAUGUGAUUUAGAUAUUGUUCAUCUGAAUGAACCUAGCUUCCUGUCACUCCUAAAAUCUAGGCUGAUAAGACGCUGGGCUCUCUGAUUAUUUAGUAAUAAUCAGUUGGAUUCAGCAGAACCUUGACAACUGCAUAGAAAAGUCUGGAAAGAAAAAAGCAUCUCAUAGAUGCAUAGAUAUUUGAUAUUCAGAAUCUCUGAAAAUAUUAGAUUUCUAUGAGUAAUUCUUGAGUUAGAGCAAAAUUUUCUAUUGAAAUUUUUUAAAAUUAAUCAAUAGAUUAAUGGUCAAGCUACAAAGGGCUCAC